RNAcentral lists this unclassified non-coding RNA (192 nucleotides) under soil metagenome. Its description in RNAcentral is "partial internal transcribed spacer 1". The record is from RNAcentral.
UUGAAUAGACUUUGUUCAAAAGUUUUUUUCAUAUUCCCUGUUUAUAUUAAAUACGUUCCUUCCACUGGACAGGUCUUUAAGGACCCUCUAGCUUAAGCAAAUGCUUUUGCUGGGGAGCUUGCCAGUGGCGUUUCUAAAAAACAUAAACUUUUUGUUAUUAUGAAAUGUCUGAAUAUAUUUUUAAAUUAAAUA